CAGUGCUGCAUGGCUGUCGUCAGCUCGUGUUGUGAAAGUGUUGGGUUAAGUCCCGCAACGAGCGCAACCCUUAUCCUUUGUUGCCAGCGGUCCGGCCGGGAAACUCAAAGGAGACUGCCAGUGAUAAACUGGAGGAAGGUGGGGAUGACGUCAAGUCAUCAUGGCCCUUACGACCAGGGCUACACACGUGCUACAAUGGCGCAUACAAAGAGAAGCGACCUCGCGAGAGCAAGCGGACCUCAUAAAGUGCGUCGUAGUCCGGAUUGGAGUCUGCAACUCGACUCCAUGAAGUCGGAAUCGCUAGUAAUCGUGGAUCAGAAUGCCACGGUGAAUACGUUCCCGGGCCUU
RNAcentral lists this ribosomal RNA (348 nucleotides) under uncultured Enterobacteriaceae bacterium. RNAcentral's name for it is "bacterial SSU rRNA". It matches the Rfam family "Bacterial small subunit ribosomal RNA", at positions 1036 to 1382 of the family's 1533-position model. Lineage: Bacteria; Pseudomonadati; Pseudomonadota; Gammaproteobacteria; Enterobacterales; Enterobacteriaceae. The record is from RNAcentral.